This 833-nucleotide ribosomal RNA is filed under the name Porogramme cf. epimiltina RG-2014. Its description in RNAcentral is "eukaryotic LSU rRNA". The stretch from base 536 to 833 matches the Rfam family "Eukaryotic large subunit ribosomal RNA", at positions 1 to 292 of the family's 3401-position model. The record is from RNAcentral. Lineage: Eukaryota; Fungi; Basidiomycota; Agaricomycetes; Polyporales; Polyporaceae.
UUAACGAGUUGAACGGGGUUGUAGCUGGCCUUCACGGGCAUGUGCACACCUCACUCAUCCACUCUACACCUGUGCACUUACUGUGGGUUUCGAGAGGCCGCGCUUGCGUGGUUGAUCGGGCUCACGUCUAUUACAAACUCUUCAGUAUCAGAAUGUGUAUCGCGAUGUAACGCAUCUAUAUACAACUUUCAGCAACGGAUCUCUUGGCUCUCGCAUCGAUGAAGAACGCAGCGAAAUGCGAUAAGUAAUGUGAAUUGCAGAAUUCAGUGAAUCAUCGAAUCUUUGAACGCACCUUGCGCUCCUUGGUAUUCCGAGGAGCAUGCCUGUUUGAGUGUCGUGUAAUUCUCAACCUAUAAAUCCUUGUGGUUUUUAGGCUUGGACUUGGAGGCUUUUGCUGGCUUUACCGUCGGCUCCUCUUAAACGCAUUAGCUUGAUUCCUUGCGGAUCGGCUCUCAGUGUGAUAAUUAUCUGCGCUGUGACCGUGAAGCGUUUGGCGAGCUUCUAACCGUCUCUUCGAGACAAACACUUUGACAUCUGACCUCAAAUCAGGUAGGACUACCCGCUGAACUUAAGCAUAUCAAUAAGCGGAGGAAAAGAAACUAACAAGGAUUCCCCUAGUAACUGCGAGUGAAGCGGGAAGAGCUCAAAUUUAAAAUCUGGCGGUCUUUGGCCGUCCGAGUUGUAGUCUGGAGAAGUGCUUUCCGCGCUGGACCGUGUACAAGUCUCUUGGAACAGAGCGUCAUAGAGGGUGAGAAUCCCGUCUUUGACACGGACUACCAGUGCUUUGUGAUGCGCUCUCAAAGAGUCGAGUUGUUUGGGAAUGCAGCUCAAAA